AUAAAUUUAAUGGCUGCAGUAUAAAUAACUGUACAAAGGUAGCAUAAUCAAUUGAUUUUUAAAUGAAAUCUGGAAUAAAAGAAUUAAUGAAAUAUAUACUGUCUCAUAUAUAUAAUAUAAAUUUAAAAUUUUAAUAAAAAUGUUAAAAUUUAUUUAUGGGACGAUAAGACCCUAUAGAAUUUUAUAUUAAAUUAUUUUUAUAAAUAUUAAAUAUAAAAUUUAAAUUAAUAUUUAAUUGGGAGAAUUAUUAAAUUUAAAAAAUUUUAAUUUUUAAAAAC
This 278-nucleotide ribosomal RNA is filed under the name Scaptotrigona mexicana. RNAcentral describes it as "partial small subunit ribosomal RNA". The record is from RNAcentral. Lineage: Eukaryota; Metazoa; Arthropoda; Insecta; Hymenoptera; Apidae.